UUAAGCGACUAAGCGUACACGGUGGAUGCCCUGGCAGUCAGAGGCGAUGAAGGACGUGCUAAUCUGCGAAAAGCGUCGGUAAGGUGAUAUGAACCGUUAUAACCGGCGAUGUCCGAAUGGGGAAACCCAGUGCAAUUCGUUGCACUAUCGUUAACUGAAUACAUAGGUUAACGAGGCGAACCGGGGGAACUGAAACAUCUAAGUACCCCGAGGAAAAGAAAUCAACCGAGAUUCCCCCAGUAGCGGCGAGCGAACGGGGAGCAGCCCAGAGUCUGAAUCAGCUUGUGUGUUAGUGGAACGGUCUGGAAAGUCCGACGGUACAGGGUGAUAGUCCCGUACACCAAAAUGCACAGGCUGUGAACUCGAAGAGUAGGGCGGGACACGUGGUAUCCUGUCUGAAUAUGGGGGGACCAUCCUCCAAGGCUAAAUACUCCUGACUGACCGAUAGUGAACCAGUACCGUGAGGGAAAGGCGAAAAGAACCCCGGCGAGGGGAGUGAAAAAGAACCUGAAACCGUGUACGUACAAGCAGUGGGAGCACCUUCGGGUGUGACUGCGUACCUUUUGUAUAAUGGGUCAGCGACUUAUAUUCUGUAGCAAGGUUAACCGUAUAGGGGAGCCGCAGGGAAACCGAGUCUUAACUGGGCGUUAAGUUGCAGGGUAUAGACCCGAAACCCGGUGAUCUAGCCAUGGGCAGGUUGAAGGUUGGGUAACACUAACUGGAGGACCGAACCGACUAAUGUUGAAAAAUUAGCGGAUGACUUGUGGCUGGGGGUGAAAGGCCAAUCAAACCGGGAGAUAGCUGGUUCUCCCCGAAAGCUAUUUAGGUAGCGCCUCGUGAAUUCAUCUUCGGGGGUAGAGCACUGUUUCGGCUAGGGGGUCAUCCCGACUUACCAACCCGAUGCAAACUACGAAUACCGAAGAAUGUUAUCACGGGAGACACACGGCGGGUGCUAACGUCCGUCGUGAAGAGGGAAACAACCCAGACCGCCAGCUAAGGUCCCAAAGUCAUGGUUAAGUGGGAAACGAUGUGGGAAGGCACAGACAGCCAGGAUGUUGGCUUAGAAGCAGCCAUCAUUUAAAGAAAGCGUAAUAGCUCACUGGUCGAGUCGGCCUGCGCGGAAGAUGUAACGGGGCUAAACCAUGCACCGAAGCUGCGGCAGCGACACUAUGUGUUGUUGGGUAGGGGAGCGUUCUGUAAGCCUGCGAAGGUGACCUGUGAGGGUUGCUGGAGGUAUCAGAAGUGCGAAUGCUGACAUAAGUAACGAUAAAGCGGGUGAAAAGCCCGCUCGCCGGAAGACCAAGGGUUCCUGUCCAACGUUAAUCGGGGCAGGGUGAGUCGACCCCUAAGGCGAGGCCGAAAGGCGUAGUCGAUGGGAAACAGGUUAAUAUUCCUGUACUUGGUGUUACUGCGAAGGGGGGACGGAGAAGGCUAUGUUAGCCGGGCGACGGUUGUCCCGGUUUAAGCAUGUAGGCUGGUUAUCCAGGCAAAUCCGGAUAAUCAAGGCUGAGGUGUGAUGACGAGGCACUACGGUGCUGAAGUAACAAAUGCCCUGCUUCCAGGAAAAGCCUCUAAGCAUCAGGUAACAUCAAAUCGUACCCCAAACCGACACAGGUGGUCAGGUAGAGAAUACCAAGGCGCUUGAGAGAACUCGGGUGAAGGAACUAGGCAAAAUGGUGCCGUAACUUCGGGAGAAGGCACGCUGGUGUGUAGGUGAAGCCCCUGCGGGUGGAGCUGAGACCAGUCGAAGAUACCAGCUGGCUGCAACUGUUUAUUAAAAACACAGCACUGUGCAAACACGAAAGUGGACGUAUACGGUGUGACGCCUGCCCGGUGCCGGAAGGUUAAUUGAUGGGGUUAUCCGUAAGGAGAAGCUCUUGAUCGAAGCCCCGGUAAACGGCGGCCGUAACUAUAACGGUCCUAAGGUAGCGAAAUUCCUUGUCGGGUAAGUUCCGACCUGCACGAAUGGCGUAAUGAUGGCCAGGCUGUCUCCACCCGAGACUCAGUGAAAUUGAACUCGCUGUGAAGAUGCAGUGUACCCGCGGCAAGACGGAAAGACCCCGUGAACCUUUACUAUAGCUUGACACUGAACAUUGAGCCUUGAUGUGUAGGAUAGGUGGGAGGCUUUGAAGCGUGGACGCCAGUCUGCGUGGAGCCAACCUUGAAAUACCACCCUUUAAUGUUUGAUGUUCUAACGUUGGCCCCUGACCGGGGUUGCGGACAGUGUCUGGUGGAUAGUUUGACUGGGGCGGUCUCCUCCCAAAGCGUAACGGAGGAGCACGAAGGUUAGCUAAUCCUGGUCGGACAUCAGGAGGUUAGUGCAAUGGCAUAAGCUAGCUUGACUGCGAGCGUGACGGCGCGAGCAGGUGCGAAAGCAGGUCAUAGUGAUCCGGUGGUUCUGAAUGGAAGGGCCAUCGCUCAACGGAUAAAAGGUACUCCGGGGAUAACAGGCUGAUACCGCCCAAGAGUUCAUAUCGACGGCGGUGUUUGGCACCUCGAUGUCGGCUCAUCACAUCCUGGGGCUGAAGUAGGUCCCAAGGGUAUGGCUGUUCGCCAUUUAAAGUGGUACGCGAGCUGGGUUUAGAACGUCGUGAGACAGUUCGGUCCCUAUCUGCCGUGGGCGCUGGAGAAUUGAGGGGGGCUGCUCCUAGUACGAGAGGACCGGAGUGGACGCAUCACUGGUGUUCGGGUUGUCAUGCCAAUGGCACUGCCCGGUAGCUAAAUGCGGAAGAGAUAAGUGCUGAAAGCAUCUAAGCACGAAACUUGCCCCGAGAUGAGUUCUCCCUGAGACUUUAAGUCUCCUGAAGGAACGUUGAAGACGACGACGUUGAUAGGCCGGGUGUGUAAGCGCAGCGAUGCGUUGAGCUAACCGGUACUAAUGAACCGUGAGGCUUAACCUU
Molecule: ribosomal RNA, 2900 nt
Filed under: Klebsiella pneumoniae subsp. pneumoniae
Lineage: Bacteria; Pseudomonadati; Pseudomonadota; Gammaproteobacteria; Enterobacterales; Enterobacteriaceae
Description: bacterial LSU rRNA
Rfam family: Bacterial large subunit ribosomal RNA
Source: RNAcentral